Long non-coding RNA from Notolabrus celidotus (New Zealand spotty), 942 nucleotides. RefSeq lists it as uncharacterized. The transcript has 2 exons. NCBI's taxonomy places the organism in Eukaryota, Metazoa, Chordata, Actinopteri, Labriformes, Labridae. The record is from RefSeq and is a predicted model, not a curated record.
AGAGAGCUGACCCGUCACUGUGUAGUUGUUCUUUCCUCCGAUGCAUCCGUGGUUUGUCCCCUGAACAUGAAUAUCUUCGAUGUUACCAACAGAGACGUUUUCUCCAAUGUCUCCUGUAGAAGAUCAGACGUCAGAGGAAAAUGACAUAAACUACAGAUCAGAACAUCAGUGAGCUUCCACACUCAGAUGAACUAACCUUUAAUGUUGUACUCAGAAUCCUCACCGCAGCCGAUGGAUGAGUUUCUGUUGCUGUGUCAAGAGAAGUUGGUCUUGCUGAAAUGUCGACUGAUGAGCAAAAGGAGAGGAAGAAAUACGUUAAAAGAAACCCUGUGCUGCUGUGAAGUCCCAUGUUGAAACUCACUAUUUCUGUCUGGCUGUAUUUUGUUAUUUUGGACUUUAGUGAAUUAUCACGUGCCAGGCUCGGCAGCCUGAGCUUAAAUUUAACAUGUUGAUGUAAACAGAACAGAAGCACAUGAGGGCAGAGGGUUUGAGACAGACGUUGGCAGAGUUUAAAACCUGCACGGAAUUUUUUCUCUAUUGAAACAGCACCAUGCUUCAGCAGGUGUCACACACAGGUGUGAUCAUGUCUGUGUCUGUUGAAAAUAAUUACCUGUUCUUUAUUGAUGCAUAUUGUUCCUAGGAACUAAACGAGCAGUGUUUGUGUGACUAUGUCGAAACUGAGAGCUGCUGAUAAGGAAAUGAUCACAGGUAACUCAUCAAGACCGUGCUCAUUCCUGCAGCUCCAGCCUACAGCACAACUGUUUAAUGCAGCUGCCCAGAAUUUGAAGACUGUGCCAGUGAUGAUAUCUUUAAAGCGUUUAUUGGAAGUUUUGGUGAGAAGAAGAUUAGCGAUUUACAGAUCCACAGAUGGAAACGUUACAAACAUGCUAUGAUGGAAGCACAGAUCAAGGAGAUACAAAUAAAGUGAACACACCACAUGAA